Long non-coding RNA from Corvus hawaiiensis (hawaiian crow), 690 nucleotides. RefSeq lists it as uncharacterized. NCBI's taxonomy places the organism in Eukaryota, Metazoa, Chordata, Aves, Passeriformes, Corvidae. The record is from RefSeq and is a predicted model, not a curated record. The transcript is spliced from 6 exons.
UCCACUUUUUUAUGCUGAAUCGCCUUGCCACCGGCUGAUGGACCCGGCUCGCCGCCAUCGUGAGCCUGUUGGAAGUAUCACGGGACUCUGUGACGGAGCCUUGACCUUUUCCAUUUGAAGGUAUGCCCUGUGACGGCGGCGUCAGACUGGGAGUGCGGCCGGAGCAUGUGGCCCGAGGGCCCUGGCCAUUUUAGGAGAUGCCAACUAAGAGACAACAGCCCGGUGACGGCAGGAACUUCCCAGAUGGCGAGGCGGCCUUCUUUCACACCUGACCUGGAUUCGCAUUCCCGGACCUCCGAGAGAUAAGUGGAGGGCUACGCCUCACAGAGGGGAUGAGAGCGAUGUGCCGGACGCAGAUCGAUUCUAUCUGUGGUGGAGCGCUCCAUACUAGGUGAGGGGGUUCGCACAGGAAGGAGGUAAAGCCGGAUCUCAGCAGUCAAUGUCAAGUGAGCGAGGCGGUCCACUUGCAUUACGCUGACCCCCCUCGCAGAACGGCCGACGGACCCGGCUCGCCGCCCUCGUGACCCCUCCGCAAGUAUCGCAAAGCUCUGCGAUGAAGCCUUGACCUUUUCCACGUGACGGUGCCGUCCGGGUAGCCUUCGGCAACGGCCGAGGAGUUGCGGCGAGUCGGGGAGGGAGGGAGGAGCGAGGGUCCACUCGGGUUUCAGCAAUGCCACACGGCCUGUCUCC